GACUUGCCAAUGGUUUUGUCCUAUUUGUCCUAGACUGCAAUUUAUUCCUGAAUAAAUCCAUUUUUUUGCUGAUAAAAUAACGGACAGUUUUAUUUUUAAGAUUAACACAACUUGGUGAUCAGAAAUGGGAUCCAGUGAAGACCGUCAGCAACUCUGAGGCUGGUGAGAUGAUGGUUACCUACAGAGCCAAGUGGAUUUGCUGCUUACUCACCAACGCUGGGAUUUGAAGAGAGAGAUACAGCGAGAGAGAGAACACAAGCAGGGGGAGUGGAAGAGUGGAAGAGGGAGAAGCAAACUUGCUGCUGAGCAGGAAGCCAGAUGUGGGCUCGAUCCCAGCUAUCAUCCUCAAAUGAUAUUGGCAGAAUCCACAGUGUACCUUCCAUCAAAAUUCAAAUGAAGUCUUCAAAACCUCAUCCCACAAUUCAUCAAUACCCUAGAAGCCUCCUGAUUCAUGUGACACACCUAAAGAAAGCACCAAACCCUGACUGGACCUGCGUAUCAUGUGGUGACCUGAAAGUAUAGAUUUCCUGGAACUGAAGCAGAUAACAUCUGAUGACACGCCUUCCCAAGAUGUCUGGACCAGGCUGUAUACCUUUUUCUCACUCCUCUCCUCUCUCAUGGAAAGUCAAAGUACUCUUCUGCAUUUCCCAAGCCCUUGUAAAAAACCUCUUCUUUUGAUUAUGGUCUUUAGGAAACAUCCUUAUGAUCCCAGGACAAAUUAAUUUUUCACUUGCUUUUUCUGAAGGGUUAGAAGAUUCAGAAUUCACAAAAAUUUUAUUUCAUCUGAACUAUUAACUGACUUUGGAUUCUUACCCAAAUUAAUGGUCUCUAACGUUGCAAACUUACUGGCUGU
This is a long non-coding RNA of Mirounga angustirostris (Northern elephant seal), 853 nucleotides long. RefSeq lists it as uncharacterized. The transcript has 4 exons. The record is from RefSeq and is a predicted model, not a curated record. NCBI's taxonomy places the organism in Eukaryota, Metazoa, Chordata, Mammalia, Carnivora, Phocidae.